UACGGAAGGCAGCAGUGGGGAAUAUUGCACAAUGGGCGAAAGCCUGAUGCAGCUAUGCCGCGUGUAUGAAGAAGGCCUUAGGGUUGUAAAGUACUUUCAUCGGGGAGGAAAAAACAAAACUAAUAAUUUUAUUUCUUGACGUUACCCGAAAAAGAAGCACCGGCUAACUCCGUGCCAGCAGCCGCGGUAAUACGGAGGGUGCUAGCGUUAAUCAGAAUUACUGGGCGUAAAGAGCACGUAGGUGGUUUUUUUAAGUCAGAUGUGAAAUCCCUGGGCUUAACCUAGGAACUGCAUUUUGAAACUGAAAUACUAGAGUAUCGUAGAGGGAGGUAGAAUUCUAGGUGUAGCGGUGAAAUGCGUAGAUAUCUGGAGGAAUACCUGUGGCGAAAGCGGCCUCCUAAACGAAUACUGACACUGAGGGUGCGAAAAGCGUGGGGAGCGAAAACAGGGAUUAGAUACC
Molecule: ribosomal RNA, 460 nt
Filed under: uncultured bacterium
Lineage: Bacteria
Description: bacterial SSU rRNA
Rfam family: Bacterial small subunit ribosomal RNA
Source: RNAcentral